RNAcentral lists this ribosomal RNA (385 nucleotides) under uncultured bacterium. RNAcentral's name for it is "bacterial SSU rRNA". It matches the Rfam family "Bacterial small subunit ribosomal RNA", at positions 505 to 898 of the family's 1533-position model. The record is from RNAcentral.
GUGCCAGCAGCCGCGGUAAUACGUAGGUGGCAAGCGUUAUCCGGAUUUAUUGGGCGUAAAGGGUGCGCAGGCGGUCUGUUAAGUUUGGUGUGAAAGCGUGGGGCUCAACCCCAUACAGCAUCGAAUACUGGCAGACUAGAGUGCAGAAGAGGGUAAUGGAACUCCAUGUGUAGCGGUAAAAUGCGUAGAUAUAUGGAAGAACACCAGCGGCGAAGGCGGUUACCUGGUCUGUAACUGACGCUCAGGCACGAAAGCGUGGGGAGCAAAUAGGAUUAGAUACCCUAGUAGUCCACGCCCUAAACGAUGAGUACUAGAUGUUGGAAUUUUCAGUGUCACAGCUAACGCAAUAAGUACUCCGCCUGAGGAGUAUGCACGCAAGUGUAAA